UACACAGUUGAAGGAAGGCAGAAAGCGCUGGGAGAGGAGUGAAAAGCGAGGGGUUGCCCACUCUUUUGCCAAGUGAACCUCCGGAAAAAUGAGAAAAUUGAGAAUUUUUUCCCCCAAGCUUUUCCCAACAAACUCAGAGGGUAUUUUCCAAAAAUGUUUUUGUCUUCCUAUAUAGCCUACUCGAUUUCUGGCCGAUUUCCCGGCUAUUUUGUCAUUUUUCCUGACGAGUGAAAUUAGUUAAGUGUAUUUAAUUACACCGAGGUGUUGGCACAUUCUUUUUCCGUGGUUUCCAAGUUAAGUAGAUGACCGAAACAAAAUAUUUCUGAUAAUUAGUAAACAUAAUGUGGUUGAUCUUGAACGGAUCGCGAAAAGCGGAUAUUGCAUCGCGGACCAGAGCGGGAAGAAAAGAAACGGAUGCGGAGCGAUCUUAGACGGUAAGGAUCAGUGCAGUUUCGUAUUUGUUUUGAUAAAAAGAAAUAUAAACUAAAACUAAAAACGAUUAUCCUGUUGAUUGAACUCCAAAUACGGAUAUCAACUUGAAAACGUCACAGAGCUGAAGUUGACACUCGUAAAUCGUAUCACGAUUGCAUCAUUAUUGAAAUAAUUCCAAUAAAGAGGUGAGAUAUUCUUAAUGAAAUUUUCCCUUAUCUUCUGUGUCUUGACAUUCACGGCUCACAGGGGGCACGGCGAUUGAAAAGAUAAAUAACUCCGAUAUAACCAAUGUCGCAAUGAAAGGCUGAUCAAUCCCAAUUCAAGGGGGCAUCAAUUGCUUUCCUUGUGUGCAGUACUAUAUAUCUCAUAUCAAUAGAUAGCAAUCAUUCUUAUCUGCAGAAGAAGAUCUACAAAUAAGUGGCAUCUUUAAUGUUGGAGAUAUCAAACAAGAGUUGGAGAUUUUCGUACUGGAUGCGUGCUCCUUUUGCUAAUUAUAAAUUUAUCAUUCGUUGGACACAAAGUAGUAGAGACGAUGAAUUUUAAGUUGAUAACGGGUUUUCUUCUGAUUGGGAUUUUGGGUUCGAUCGGUCGUACUAAUGGAGUAGCGCUGAUGACCCGUAUUCAAAUGGCAAAAACUUCAUUGGAGGAAUAUUUGGAACAAUGCUGGAAUGAUUUUGUCGAUUUAAUGGACAACGGAAUUCCUGGCCUCAAUAUCCCGACGUUUGAUCCAUGGUUCUCUAACGACAGUUUCCCAUUCCGGAUGCAAGAUAGCGAUAUCGUUCUUCGUGCAGAUGUCAAUGCUACGAACGUUACGUCGCUUGGCUUUUCUUCAGUGGAGAUUCCAGCAGUGUAUGACAAUGGAAACGGGCACUUUAACAUUUCCCUGACUCUGUCAGACCUAAAAAUUAAUGGCCUCUACUCAGUCGUGGGUAGCCACCAUUAUUUUUAUCCUAUUGUCGGGAAUGGACCAUUUGAUAUGAUGAUGAUGGAUGUUUACUCAAGCGGGACUGCAACUCUCAUGUAUAAUGGUACGGUUUAUAGUUUGACUAAGUUGGAAUUAACUCCGCUUUUGUACGGAUCGGCAACUGCCGAAUUCUUCAGUCUAUCGAUUUCCGGUACAGAUAGUACAUCCGUAACCUACACCCAAAUCGUUAAUUUGAUGACGGAACUAUUGUGGUUUCAAGUAGAAGAAGAGCUUCGCCUACAGUUAAGCGUGUCGAUAACUGAAUACCUGAACAACCAGCUCUUGGAAUUCAAACCAAGCAGUUUCCUUCAAAAACAAAAAUCUUAAAUAAAUGUUAUCUGCACCGUGAAGUGAAAGACAGGAGAAACAACGACGUACUAAGAGUUUGAUAUCAUGCUUCAGCAUAUCAGAUUUUGGUCUGUUAGCCUAUUCCGUUGUUUCUCCUGUCAUUCUUCUUCAUGUCUGCACUUUUCUCGAAGCAUCAACUUACGAUUUACUUAUAUUCAAAUUUGGGUCUUAUUAUAACUGUUUUUUGUGGAAAAUUUUAUUCAUAUGGUACGCAUGAAAAUCUAAAGAAUAAAUAGCAGAAACUAAACGAA
Molecule: unclassified non-coding RNA, 1995 nt
Filed under: Daphnia pulex (common water flea)
Lineage: Eukaryota; Metazoa; Arthropoda; Branchiopoda; Diplostraca; Daphniidae
Description: uncharacterized LOC124202749, transcript variant X3
Source: RNAcentral